CGAACGGUAACAGGUCUUCGGAUGCUGACGAGUGGCGAACGGGUGAGUAAUACAUCGGAACGUGCCCAGUAAUGGGGGAUAGCUCGGCGAAAGCCGGAUUAAUACCGCAUACGCCCUGAGGGGGAAAGUGGGGGAUCGCAAGACCUCACGUUAUUGGAGCGGCCGAUGGCUGAUUAGCUAGUUGGUAGGGUAAAGGCCUACCAAGGCGACGAUCAGUAGCUGGUCUGAGAGGACGAUCAGCCACACUGGGACUGAGACACGGCCCAGACUCCUACGGGAGGCAGCAGUGGGGAAUUUUGGACAAUGGGGGAAACCCUGAUCCAGCAAUGCCGCGUGUGCGAAGAAGGCCUUCGGGUUGUAAAGCACUUUUGUCAGGGAAGAAAUCCUUUGGGCUAAUACCCUAGGGGGAUGACGGUACCUGAAGAAUAAGCACCGGCUAACUACGUGCCAGCAGCCGCGGUAAUACGUAGGGUGCAAGCGCUAAUCGGAAUUACUGGGCGUAAAGCGUGCGCAGGCGGUUGUGUAAGACAGGUGUGAAAUCCCCGGGCUUAACCUGGGAAUUGCAUUUGUGACUGCACGACUAGAGUGUGUCAGAGGGGGGUGGAAUUCCACGUGUAGCAGUGAAAUGCGUAGAUAUGUGGAGGAACACCAAUGGCGAAGGCAGCCCCCUGGGA
Molecule: ribosomal RNA, 674 nt
Filed under: uncultured beta proteobacterium
Lineage: Bacteria; Pseudomonadati; Pseudomonadota; Betaproteobacteria
Description: bacterial SSU rRNA
Rfam family: Bacterial small subunit ribosomal RNA
Source: RNAcentral